Molecule: ribosomal RNA, 253 nt
Filed under: uncultured bacterium
Lineage: Bacteria
Description: partial 16S ribosomal RNA
Rfam family: Bacterial small subunit ribosomal RNA
Source: RNAcentral
GACAGAGGGUGCAAACGUUGUUCGGAAUCAUUGGGCGUAAAGCGCGUGUAGGCGGUCCGGUAAGUCCGCUGUGAAAGUCGGGGGCUCAACCCUCGGAUGCCGGUGGAUACUGUCGGGCUUGAGUACGGAAGAGGCGAGUGGAAUUCCUGGUGUAGCGGUGAAAUGCGCAGAUAUCAGGAGGAACACCAAUUGCGAAGGCAGCUCGCUGGGACGUUACUGACGCUGAGACGCGAAAGCGUGGGGAGCAAACAGG